This is a long non-coding RNA of Chinchilla lanigera (long-tailed chinchilla), 947 nucleotides long. RefSeq lists it as uncharacterized. NCBI's taxonomy places the organism in Eukaryota, Metazoa, Chordata, Mammalia, Rodentia, Chinchillidae. The transcript is spliced from 5 exons. The record is from RefSeq and is a predicted model, not a curated record.
GGGAUGGGCUGCAGUCCAUCUCCGAUACUGCAGGUUCUCUGCUAAAUCAAUCAAGGGCACAGAAUGUGUUUUGUCAUCAAGAAUCAGGAAUGAGAGCGGAGGUCAGGGAAGUCGAGACAACCGGGUGCUUCGCUGAGCUAUUGUUUUCCAUGCAGGGAGACCAGCCAGCUCCCCUCCUUCCCAGAGAAAUCUGUGCUUAGCUUAAAAGAAACCAAAAUAGAUACAAAGUACUUUGCUUUUGUCUGAGCAUUAUUACUCUGUUUUUAGCAAAAUCCAAGCCACCCUCCUCUGCAGGUCAGAUGAUCUGUUGACAGGGAAGUGAGAGAGCGGGGGCGCGUCUCAGCCUCACCCUCACCUUCAGUCCAGGCUCCUGGGCAGGUACCUGGAAUUGAACUCAUGACCUUGCACUUGCCAGCAGGUUGGGACCGAUGGCCACAGGGGAUGAGCACACCAGCAGGCACCAAGGAAGCCAUCAGCAGAGCAGCUCCACAAGGGCAUCAACGCCGGGUGCCAGUGCGGUCAGAUUGCUGAUGCUUAGGCUGGAUCCCCGCCCCUAUGAAUUAUGCAUGCCAGCUGCCUUACCCUACACCAUUCAUUCUAAGGUAGAUAUCUGUCAGCUGGGAAGAAAUUUUUUUUAAUCAGAGGGAGCUGUCAAGAGUGAAUUUGAAGUCCUGCCUUCUUCCCUCAGAAUGGGCUCCCUCGUGGCGAUGAGGACUGGCAAGGAGUGCAGCCUCACAUCCCCAUGUUUAUGUUUACAUUUGAAUUUCUACACCUCUUUCUUUUCCUGCUCCUGAAAGAAGUGGGGAGGAACAGCAGGAAGAUGAAGAUUCUUUUCCCCAUGGCAGUGCCCUGGCUGCUUGCACAACAUCCCUGCCUUCCUCUUCUGCUGCCAUCACUGACUACCCCAGCCGUACUCCCAUAAACAAUAAAGGUUUAUCCAGCUCCUG